GAUGAACGCUGGCGGCGUGCCUAAUACAUGCAAGUCGAGCGAACGGACGAGAAGCUUGCUUCUCUGAUGUUAGCGGCGGACGGGUGAGUAACACGUGGAUAACCUACCUAUAAGACUGGGAUAACUUCGGGAAACCGGAGCUAAUACCGGAUAAUAUUUUGAACCGCAUGGUUCAAAAGUGAAAGACGGUCUUGCUGUCACUUAUAGAUGGAUCCGCGCUGCAUUAGCUAGUUGGUAAGGUAACGGCUUACCAAGGCAACGAUGCAUAGCCGACCUGAGAGGGUGAUCGGCCACACUGGAACUGAGACACGGUCCAGACUCCUACGGGAGGCAGCAGUAGGGAAUCUUCCGCAAUGGGCGAAAGCCUGACGGAGCAACGCCGCGUGAGUGAUGAAGGUCUUCGGAUCGUAAAACUCUGUUAUUAGGGAAGAACAUAUGUGUAAGUAACUGUGCACAUCUUGACGGUACCUAAUCAGAAAGCCACGGCUAACUACGUGCCAGCAGCCGCGGUAAUACGUAGGUGGCAAGCGUUAUCCGGAAUUAUUGGGCGUAAAGCGCGCGUAGGCGGUUUUUUAAGUCUGAUGUGAAAGCCCACGGCUCAACCGUGGAGGGUCAUUGGAAACUGGAAAACUUGAGUGCAGAAGAGGAAAGUGGAAUUCCAUGUGUAGCGGUGAAAUGCGCAGAGAUAUGGAGGAACACCAGUGGCGAAGGCGACUUUCUGGUCUGUAACUGACGCUGAUGUGCGAAAGCGUGGGGAUCAAACAGGAUUAGAUACCCUGGUAGUCCACGCCGUAAACGAUGAGUGCUAAGUGUUAGGGGGUUUCCGCCCCUUAGUGCUGCAGCUAACGCAUUAAGCACUCCGCCUGGGGAGUACGACCGCAAGGUUGAAACUCAAAGGAAUUGACGGGGACCCGCACAAGCGGUGGAGCAUGUGGUUUAAUUCGAAGCAACGCGAAGAACCUUACCAAAUCUUGACAUCCUUUGACAACUCUAGAGAUAGAGCCUUCCCCUUCGGGGGACAAAGUGACAGGUGGUGCAUGGUUGUCGUCAGCUCGUGUCGUGAGAUGUUGGGUUAAGUCCCGCAACGAGCGCAACCCUUAAGCUUAGUUGCCAUCAUUAAGUUGGGCACUCUAAGUUGACUGCCGGUGACAAACCGGAGGAAGGUGGGGAUGACGUCAAAUCAUCAUGCCCCUUAUGAUUUGGGCUACACACGUGCUACAAUGGACAAUACAAAGGGCAGCGAAACCGCGAGGUCAAGCAAAUCCCAUAAAGUUGUUCUCAGUUCGGAUUGUAGUCUGCAACUCGACUACAUGAAGCUGGAAUCGCUAGUAAUCGUAGAUCAGCAUGCUACGGUGAAUACGUUCCCGGGUCUUGUACACACCGCCCGUCACACCACGAGAGUUUGUAACACCCGAAGCCCGGUGGGAGUAACCUUUU
RNAcentral lists this ribosomal RNA (1437 nucleotides) under Staphylococcus sp. Its description in RNAcentral is "bacterial SSU rRNA". It matches the Rfam family "Bacterial small subunit ribosomal RNA". Lineage: Bacteria; Bacillati; Bacillota; Bacilli; Caryophanales; Staphylococcaceae. The record is from RNAcentral.